ACACAUGCAAGUCGAACGAAGCACUUCAUAAAGUUUACUUUAAAAAGUGACUUAGUGGCGGACGGGUGAGUAACGCGUGGGUAACCUGCCUUACACAGGGGGAUAACAGUUAGAAAUGACUGCUAAUACCGCAUAAAACAGCAGAGUCGCAUGACUCAACUGUCAAAGAUUUAUCGGUGUAAGAUGGACCCGCGUCUGAUUAGCUUGUUGGUGGGGUAACGGCCUACCAAGGCGACGAUCAGUAGCCGGCCUGAGAGGGUGAACGGCCACAUUGGGACUGAGACACGGCCCAAACUCCUACGGGAGGCAGCAGUGGGGAAUAUUGGACAAUGGGCGAAAGCCUGAUCCAGCGACGCCGCGUGAGCGAUGAAGUAUUUCGGUAUGUAAAGCUCUAUCAGCAGGGAAGAAAACGACGGUACCUGACUAAGAAGCCCCGGCUAACUACGUGCCAGCAGCCGCGGUAAUACGUAGGGGGCAAGCGUUAUCCGGAUUUACUGGGUGUAAAGGGAGCGUAGACGGCAUCACAAGUCAGAAGUGAAAAUCCGGGGCUCAACCCCGGAACUGCUUUUGAAACUGUGGAGCUGGAGUGCAGGAGAGGUAAGCGGAAUUCCUAGUG
This 616-nucleotide ribosomal RNA is filed under the name uncultured bacterium. RNAcentral describes it as "bacterial SSU rRNA". It matches the Rfam family "Bacterial small subunit ribosomal RNA", at positions 51 to 675 of the family's 1533-position model. The record is from RNAcentral.